GACGAACGCUGGCGGCGUGCUUAACACAUGCAAGUCGUGCGGUAAGGCCCUUUCGGGGGUACACGAGCGGCGAACGGGUGAGUAACACGUGAGCAACCUGCCCUUCACUUUGGGAUAACUGCCGGAAACGGUGGCUAAUACCGGAUAUGACUUCCUCACGCAUGUGGGGUGGUGGAAAGCCUUCGGGUGGUGGGGGAUGGGCUCGCGGUCUAUCAGCUUGUUGGUGGGGUGAUGGCCUACCAAGGCUUCGACGGGUAGCCGGCCUGAGAGGGUGACCGGCCACACUGGGACUGCGACACGGCCCAGACUCCUACGGGAGGCAGCAGUGGGGAAUAUUGCACAAUGGGCGCACGCCUGAUCCAGCAACGCCGCGUGCGGGAUGACGGCCUUCGGGUUGUAAACCUCUUUCGCCUGCGACGAAGCGAGAGUGACGGUAGCAGGUAAAGAAGCACCGGCCAACUACGUG
Molecule: ribosomal RNA, 466 nt
Filed under: uncultured bacterium
Lineage: Bacteria
Description: partial 16S ribosomal RNA
Rfam family: Bacterial small subunit ribosomal RNA
Source: RNAcentral